Molecule: long non-coding RNA, 1324 nt
Organism: Lolium rigidum
Lineage: Eukaryota; Viridiplantae; Streptophyta; Magnoliopsida; Poales; Poaceae
Exons: 5
Source: RefSeq, a predicted model, not a curated record
CCUCUGCCGCAAGGCGCCGUGCAUCCGCGACCAGAUGGACCUCUUCUUUGAAUCCCCCUCCAGCCGCCGCCGGCAAAGUCCCAUGUCGCUUUCCGGCUCUCCGAUUCCCCAUCCAUGGUGCACACUCAAGGUCUCCAAGUUCUGCUCGAGAUGCAGCAGCAGCAGUUCACGGCGAUUCAGCCGCAGUAUAUCUUCUAGACCAUGCCCCAGCUCCCGGCCGUCGUCUGAAGGACCAACGCUGCCGCGGUUUCCUUGCCGCCGGCUGGCCAUCGCCUUCUACCCACCGCCACCUCUCUCCUUCCGCUGCACCAACGCCCUGGGCGGUGUCGCCACUGGUGGGAGCUUCUCCUCCCAGCAGCCAGACCCUGGGGUCAGGGGCAUGGCUUCCCCAACAGCUGCACCACCGGCCUGGACCGACAACAAAGAACGGUUGUGAAGCAGUUAUGUCCUUAUGGGCAUAUACCAGGCAGAAUAAUCUUCAGGAUCCUGAUUAUAAAAGGAAGAUCAUUUGCAAUGAUGAACUUAACGUCGUCUUUUGAACUGACGCCGCUGUAGAUCAAGAUGAGGAAGCAAAAAGAAUAUUAAGGUGCCCAAUACACUUCUCAACAAAUGACUCCUGUUAAUCCACCAGACGUGGUUGUUUCUGAUGCACUAGCUAAUUCAUUAGUGUUCAAGGAGCCUCAUGACAAUGCUCUGAAGUAUCUGUGGGAUUAGAUAAAAAAUCAUUUUCAGGUCUGUUAUGGUGUGGAGGGACAGGGCCUCUUUGAUCUAAACCAUGCCAUAUUUUGCCUACAAGACCACAGGCACCACUUUGGAUCGCUUUGAACAAAUUAAUGGAAAACUAGAAACAAGUUUAUUUGUUUCAAAAGAAAUUUUGAAUUCAUGGAAAGCACUGCUCAGAUAGCCCACUUUAGUGGUGCCUGCCUGAGAGCUAAGAGAUACCUUCUCUGGUAUUGACGGUUGUGACGAGCCAGGGCCCUCCUGUAGAGAACGAGCCACACCAGCCCUGGCCUUCAUGUCAAGAGCCAGGAAAUUGUUGUUCUAUCAUCCGACGAUAAGAGGGAUGACAACAAUAAGAUCGAUGAUAGGCUGAAGAACUCUAUUCAAAGGAAAGGGGUCAGUUAUGGUAGCUUCUUUUGGUUAUUUGCUAUGUACAGAACUUUGUAAAAUCCAUCACAAAGUUCCUAUUGUACCCAUAGUUUGUGAAAAUAAGAUGAUCAGUUCCAUGCCUUGGAUCUUUCGUAUUAACACAUUGCUUAUCAUCCAUUUACUAUGAGAACUCCACAUCAUAGUUGUAAUUUAAUAUGAUUUAAAAUAUCCUUUA